GUUCAAGUUAUCAUUCAUAUUAGAAAGUCAUGUGAUAAACUACUUCAUACGAGCAUACACAUAAAACGAUAAUGUCCUCAAAACUUAAACAUGAUUGCAAAAAUGUCAUUUCAGGAUGGAAUACAAUGCUCAUUACUUUCUCAGAUUUUUUAUUUUUUUAUUAAAGAUUAAAGAACGAAAAAGAAGCAACUGCAAAGAUAUUUUACAUAUCGUUCAAAAAGAACAAACUCGCCCUCAAACAAUCCCGUAUGGUUUGAUUACUCCGAGUUCACCUCGAAGAAAAGCAAACCGAGAAGAAUCCAAUGGUUUAGUAAAAAUGUAUGCCAAUGACGUUCAGUAUCUAUAAAAUGUAGCACAACAUGUCCUUUUUCAACGUGAUCUCAAAGAAAAUUAUAUCUUAUAUAAUUUUGCACAGGGUUUUUAGCAAUACAUAUAACACUAGUGUUAUCAAAAAUAAAGUGGCACACUUUUUAAAGUAAACCCA
Molecule: long non-coding RNA, 484 nt
Filed under: Brachypodium distachyon (stiff brome)
Lineage: Eukaryota; Viridiplantae; Streptophyta; Magnoliopsida; Poales; Poaceae
Description: long non-coding RNA (BDIS_LNC004679)
Source: RNAcentral